Temnothorax curvispinosus is the source of this 617-nucleotide long non-coding RNA. RefSeq lists it as uncharacterized. The transcript is spliced from 3 exons. The record is from RefSeq and is a predicted model, not a curated record. Lineage: Eukaryota; Metazoa; Arthropoda; Insecta; Hymenoptera; Formicidae.
AAAUAAUAUAUAAAUUCCCUGAGAAUACAUCUCAAUGUAAAAAUCAUUCUAAGACGAUGAAACAAUUUUUGGGGUUGUUACAAUAUGGGGUCCUAUUGUUAUGUUAUCCAGAUGUUGCUAAUGUCGCGAGUCUUGCCUGGAGGUACGGAGUCAAACAGCGGUAUACAGGGCUGACAUUCAAAGUACUACCACUCGGUAGGCUUGUGUAGUGUUAUGCCUCCUCGGCACCAAUAUCCCUGGUUGCAGCGCAAUCGUCUUGGCAAGCAAUUAAUGAGCUGCCAUGCUCAAUUAAGAAUAUAUACUUGCCAUCUCAAUUGUUGAUGAAGCCUCAUAGCGUCAAGCAUCAACGUAAGGCAGUUACCUGCUGCGUAGCAUUUAUGUAUCAUAUAUGUCGGAAAGAAACGAAGUCAAGAUGCAGCAGGUGGACACCAUCUCGCAGAACAAUUCUUUAGAUGUGGAGGAGCGAGAAAGGCUGUGUAAUAUACCGAAGGUGAGAAACCUUGCUGACUAUGGUUUCGAUUAGGAUAUAUUGUUGAAAUAUGAAUUGGCAACUAAUAAUUCGUGCUGUUUCAAAUAAUCUAUAAAUCUUGCUUUAUUCUCUAUUAGUCUAUAAAUAA